GUUUUGGUCACAUGUGGACGCAUCUAAGUCUGUAGGUAAUACUGAUUACAGAACUUAGGACUGGGAGCAGUACUGGCAUUUAUAUAGAGUCCUGACAUUUGUAGACCCUACUAUGGGUAAUAGGGGCAACUACUGACCGUAGAAGAGAGUAGGGACAGCAGAGAAAAUUAACAGUUCUGACAUCAACCCCUCAUAUAACCAACUAAAGUGAAAGGGCUACUCCCUACCUCAGUGAAAGUAAGUAUUUUUUUAUCGCAACCAAUUUUGUGUGUGUGUGUACUGUAUGAAGAGAGUGAAUGUUUGUUAUUUCUUUAUUGUCCACAGGGGGUUAAACAUAGAAGGGACAAACAAGGACAGAUAAAGGGACUACGUGGAUUACAUCGACCCCAGUGCGUAAUUGGUACUUAUUUAAUCGACCCCGAAAGGAUGAAAGUCAAAGUCGACCUCGGCGGAAUUUGAACUCAGAACGUAACGGCAGACGAAAUACCUAUUUCUUUACUACCCACAAGGUGCUAAACACAGAGAGGACAAACAAGGACAGACAAAGGGAUUAAGUCGAUUACAUCGACUCCAGUGUGUAACUGGUACUUAAUUUAUCGACCCCGAAAGGAUGAAAGGCAAAGUCGACCUCGGCGGAAUUUGAACUCAGAACAUAGCGGCAGACGAAAUACGGCUACGUAUUUCACCCGGCGUGCUAACGGUUCUGCCAGCUCACCGCCUUCAAUAUUCUUAGCCCUGUAUUCUGUGGCCCUCUAUCAUUAAUGACUAAGGAUGAAGGCCCUAGAUUCCUCACCCCCACUAGAACAGCAUUUUCUGUGUCUGAACUAUUCGAUAUGCAAAUGGCAGUCUCUGUCACACAAGCACUGCAUUUAAGGGUUGCCCAGGGCCUGUUUGAGCUGUAUUGUUCUUCCUGUCUGAUGUUUUAUCCUGUUCUAGCUCUCAAGUAGGGGGUGUUCGAAAGAAUUCGAUCCUGGGUAGUGUCCCACAUCUCAACGUCCUAAUGGAUCCUGAGAAACAGUCCGGCCACUACAACUUGGUGACAGCGAAAGCCUUUCUCAUGCUUGUGUAUGGUUACAAGGAAACAUAUUAGGAAUCAGGGUUUUCCUUCCGCUUGAUGGAUUGCACUCCCCCACCUGGUUAACGAGCUCCAUCUUUCUCGACUGAGUUGCUAAUUAACCCGAAGCUGGGACACUGACAAUUCAUACAAUUCUUGUCGGAAUAGACCUGUGAACAACAGUGGCUAAGAGGAGGGUCCUCACUCCUCAAAUCCUUGGAAUUCCCGAAGCAGGGCCCCACUACUAAAAUCUUAUCCAGGACCUGUACCUAUGUUAACAACACUAAUUUAUGUUCAACUAGCAGUAUCGCCCGGCGUUGCUUGGGUUUGUAAGGGAAAUAACUAUAUAAGCAUUUUUAGAGAGUUAUAGCCAAAAAAUAGCAAAAAAAAUGCAUUAAAAAUGGAAAAAAAAUUAUGGUAAAUUUUUUUUAAAUCGUUGACUCAUCGUAGACAUUUUUAGAGAGUUACUUCCCUUAUAUAAUAGCGAAAAAAUGCAUUAAAAUGGAAAAAAAUGAUGGUAAAUUUUUUUUAAAUCGUAGACUCAUGCUAAUACCCAGAAGGGCUCGAUAUGAAUCACGACUAUAAGAUACCCGCUUUUGGUUAAACUGCACCGCAAAAUGUGGGAGUAGUUAGGAAUCUAAAUCGUAGGAGACAGACACACAACUUCACUUUUAUAUAUAAAGAUUUUCUAUUCCAAAUCAUAAUUUAUUUCUUAUUUUUCGUUUUCUUUUUAAGUUACCCUUCCUCGCAUACUCAAAAAUUUUACCUCUUGUCAUUUUAUUUCUCUCUUCUCUUUCAGGAUAUCUCUCUGUUACUCUCUAAUUCUUUUCCACCCUUUCUGUCUUUUUCUCACCCGUUCUCUCUUUGUAUAUUAAAUUUCACCUUCUCUUUUUGCUGAAUCUCACCCUCUUUCUCCUCUCAUCUCUCUUCCUUUCUCUAAUGCCAUUUGCU
This 2005-nucleotide long non-coding RNA is filed under the name Octopus vulgaris (common octopus). The record is from RNAcentral. Lineage: Eukaryota; Metazoa; Mollusca; Cephalopoda; Octopoda; Octopodidae.